This 256-nucleotide ribosomal RNA is filed under the name uncultured bacterium. Its description in RNAcentral is "partial 16S ribosomal RNA". It matches the Rfam family "Bacterial small subunit ribosomal RNA", at positions 524 to 776 of the family's 1533-position model. The record is from RNAcentral.
UACGUAGGGUGCAGGCGUUAAUCGGAAUUACUGGGCGUAAAGCGUGCGCAGGCGGUUUCUUAAGUCAGAUGUGAAAGCCCCGGGCUUAACCUGGGAACUGCGUUUGAAACUGGGAGACUUGAGUGUGGCAGAGGGGGGUGGAAUUCCGACGUGUAGCAGUGAAAUGCGUAGAUAGUGAUGGAGGAACACCGAUGGCGAAGGCAGCCCCCUGGGUUAACACUGACGCUCAUGCACGAAAGCGUGGGGAGCAAACAGG